AGUGAACGCUGGCGGUGGGCCUAACACAUGCAAGUCGAACGGCAGCACAGUAAGAGCUUGCUCUUACGGGUGGCGAGUGGCGGACGGGUGAGGAAUACAUCGGAAUCUACUUUUUCGUGGGGGAUAACGUAGGGAAACUUACGCUAAUACCGCAUACGACCUACGGGUGAAAGCAGGGGAUCUUCGGACCUUGCGCGAUUGAAUGAGCCGAUGUCGGAUUAGCUAGUUGGCGGGGUAACGGCCCACCAAGGCGACGAUCCGUAGCUGGUCUGAGAGGAUGAUCAGCCACACUGGAACUGAGACACGGUCCAGACUCCUACGAGAGGCAGCAGUCGGGAAUAUUAGACAAUGGGCGCAAGCCUGAUACAGCCAUACCGCGUGGGUGAAGAAGGCCUUCGGGUUGUAAAGCCCUUUUGUUGGGAAAGAAAAGCAGCAGGUUAAUACCACGCUGUUCUGACGGUACCCAAAGAAUAAGCACCGGCUAACUUCGUG
RNAcentral lists this ribosomal RNA (492 nucleotides) under uncultured bacterium. RNAcentral's name for it is "partial 16S ribosomal RNA". It matches the Rfam family "Bacterial small subunit ribosomal RNA", at positions 29 to 507 of the family's 1533-position model. The record is from RNAcentral.